This 406-nucleotide ribosomal RNA is filed under the name uncultured bacterium. Its description in RNAcentral is "partial 16S ribosomal RNA". It matches the Rfam family "Bacterial small subunit ribosomal RNA", at positions 30 to 526 of the family's 1533-position model. The record is from RNAcentral.
AUUGAACGCUGGCGGCAGGCCUAACACAUGCAAGUCGAACGAGUGGCGGACGGGUGAGUAAUGUCUGGGAACCUGCCUGAUGGAGGGGGAUAACUACUGGAAACGGUAGCUAAUACCGCAUACCAUCGGAUGUGGCCAGCUGGGAUUAGCUAGUAGGUGGGGUAAAGGCUCUUCUAGGCGACGAUCCCUAGCUGGUCUGAGGUGAUGCCGAGCCACACGGGACAUGAGACACGGUCUAGACUCCUACGUGUGGCAGCAGUCGGGAAUAGUGCACAAUGGGCGAAAGGCUGAGGCAGCAAGGAGGGGUGUAUGAUGAAGGAUUUCGGAUUGUGAAGUACUUUCGGCGGGGAGGCGUUACCCGCAGAAGAAGCCCCGGCUAACUCCGUGCCAGCAGCCGCGGUAAUUC